This 449-nucleotide ribosomal RNA is filed under the name uncultured bacterium. RNAcentral's name for it is "partial 16S ribosomal RNA". It matches the Rfam family "Bacterial small subunit ribosomal RNA", at positions 29 to 523 of the family's 1533-position model. The record is from RNAcentral.
AACGAACGCUGGCGGCAUGCCUAACACAUGCAAGUCGAACGAGAUCUUCGGGUCUAGUGGCGCACGGGUGCGUAACGCGUGGGAAUCUGCCCUUUGGUUCGGAAUAACAGUUGGAAACGACUGCUAAUACCGGAUGAUGACGAAAGUCCAAAGAUUUAUCGCCAGAGGAUGAGCCCGCGUAGGAUUAGCUAGUUGGUGUGGUAAAGGCGCACCAAGGCGACGAUCCUUAGCUGGUCUGAGAGGAUGAUCAGCCACACUGGGACUGAGACACGGCCCAGACUCCUACGGGAGGAAGCAGUGGGGAAUAUUGGACAAUGGGCGAAAGCCUGAUCCAGCAAUGCCGCGUGAGUGAUGAAGGCCUUGGGGUUGUAAAGCUCUUUUACCCGGGAUGAUAAUGACAGUACCGGGAGAAUAAGCUCCGGCUAACUCCGUGCCAGCCGCCGCGGUAA